CUCUUACAAAUACUUACGAUGAUAAGUUACAUAGAAUUUUUAGAAAAAGAUAUAAGAAACAUACAGUUACUAGAAAAACAGAUAAAAAUAAAUAUAGACAAAUACAUGGAAAAUAAAGAUAUAAAAUACAUAGAAUUUCUUAAUAAAAAUAUGCAAAAACUAUUAAGGCUAAAACAAACAACUACAAAAUAUUAUAAUAAAACCA
RNAcentral lists this long non-coding RNA (205 nucleotides) under Capsicum annuum. RNAcentral describes it as "long non-coding RNA (CANN_LNC014722)". The record is from RNAcentral. Lineage: Eukaryota; Viridiplantae; Streptophyta; Magnoliopsida; Solanales; Solanaceae.